UUGCUCACUUUGGCAGCACAUAUACAAAAAUUGGAAUGAUACAGAGAAGAUUAGCAUGGCCCCUGUGCAAGGAUGAUAUGCAAAUUCAUGAAGCAUUCCAUAUUUUU
Small nuclear RNA from Cavia porcellus (domestic guinea pig), 107 nucleotides. Lineage: Eukaryota; Metazoa; Chordata; Mammalia; Rodentia; Caviidae. The record is from Ensembl.